RNAcentral lists this long non-coding RNA (1022 nucleotides) under Citrus x clementina. RNAcentral describes it as "Citrus clementina (C. clementina) long non-coding RNA (CCLE_LNC005734)". Lineage: Eukaryota; Viridiplantae; Streptophyta; Magnoliopsida; Sapindales; Rutaceae. The record is from RNAcentral.
AAUAUAUUUUAAAUUAUUAUUUAAAAAGUAAAACUAAAAUAACUUGUUGUAUGAAACUUUAGGGAUAAGAAAGAUUUUUUCCUGUUACAAGCGUGACCCAGUACCUUGAUAUUGAUUAUAGCAUUGAAAGCAAAUAUUAAUUUGCAAAUCAGAAUCAACUGCCGCCGCUUCUGUUCCAGCUGUAAGCAUUCAAUGAAAUAUAAACGUGGAUUUUGCUUAUCUAAAACAUUUAUUGCUUGCAUGAGCUUCGUCAUUAAAGCAGAAACAUAUUGUGACAAAUCAAAUCUUGCCUCUUCAAUGAAAUUGAUUGCCGUAAUAUACAACAACAUUAACGAAAAAUGUUAAAGUAUAUCGCUGGUAAAAAGAAUACUUACUCUCAAUUGAGUGAACAAAUUGAUAGUAAUCUGCAAAAAAAAAAAAAAUCUAAAUUAAUAUAAUUACUCAGAGAAUAAUAAUUGCACAUUUAUAAGCAUUUAUUUGUGGGCUGCAACGAUUUGCUUUGUUGCUUUCGAAAAAAGAAUGGCCAAUAUUGCGAACCAGUAAUUCAUAUCACAAUUUGUACACUCAGUUUCUCCAAGAAGCACACAUAUUUCUUGAAGGAUUAAUUUAAUUAGUUGAAUCCGAAUACACGAUUGCAUCCAUAGGAAAAGUUCGACCGUACAUCUUUUUCCGGCAUCAUUGGACCAUAUGCUUGUGUGAUCACAGUACUGAAUGAUAAAGUAUAGUUGUUUACAGUCUCGUUUAAAAGUUCCUCAUUAUUAAGUACUUAAGUUGUCAUAUGGUUCGUUACAUGAUUUGUUUCAAUUUAAAAUCAAAACACAUGCUCUUCGUUAGUAACUAAAUACACACAGCCGUACUCUUGAAACCACUUCUAUUUUAGAUCUAAUGGUUAAAAAAGAAAAAUACAAACUAAAGGUGUGAUGCACCAGUUGCAUCGUAGUAGUUGGAUCCAAUUUUGAAUUUAGAAAAUAAUAUAAGUGUCAAUAACUUUGUUUUUAAUUAAAUCACUUUUUUUCAAAAAA